This 253-nucleotide ribosomal RNA is filed under the name uncultured bacterium. RNAcentral's name for it is "partial 16S ribosomal RNA". It matches the Rfam family "Bacterial small subunit ribosomal RNA", at positions 524 to 776 of the family's 1533-position model. The record is from RNAcentral.
UACGAAGGGGGCUAGCGUUGCUCGGAAUCACUGGGCGUAAAGCGCACGUAGGCGGAUUGUUAAGUCAGGGGUGAAAUCCUGGAGCUCAACUCCAGAACUGCCUUUGAUACUGGCGAUCUCGAGUCCGGGAGAGGUGAGUGGAACUGCGAGUGUAGAGGUGAAAUUCGUAGAUAUUCGCAAGAACACCAGUGGCGAAGGCGGCUCACUGGCCGGGUACUGACGCUGAGGUGCGAAAGCGUGGGUAGCAAACAGG